This 741-nucleotide long non-coding RNA is filed under the name Panax ginseng (ginseng). RNAcentral's name for it is "long non-coding RNA (PGIN_LNC018910)". The record is from RNAcentral. Lineage: Eukaryota; Viridiplantae; Streptophyta; Magnoliopsida; Apiales; Araliaceae.
UGUAUUCUUUUCUUUAUCUCUUUUUCUUUCUUUUAAUAAUUAUUUUUAUUUUAAAAAUUAAUACUAAUGAUAUAAAAAAGAUAAGUACAUAAUUAACAUAAAAUAAAAAAUUCGAUACAAUUAACAAAAAUUAAUUAAACAAAUGACAUAAAAAUUAAAAUUAUUUAUACAAUCAAAAUCACAUUAUUUUUUUAUAAUUUAUUCUUUUCCUUUCUUUUAAUGUUCUACUGCUCAUCUUCUCCACAAAUCAGAUCUUCUCCACAAAUCUUUUCCUUUAUUCUACUGUUCAUCUCCUCCACAAAUCCCAACAAAAAGCUCGUUUAUUCUACUGUAAACCACCGACAAUGACACCGGAAAUAAAAAACACGAAAUAGGAGGAGAUCUGGGCGGUGGAGGAGGUGGGGGCGGCGACGGUGGAAAUCUAGGCGGUGGAGGAGGAGGCGACGGUGGAAAUCUGGGCGGCGGAGGCGGCGGACAUGGAUCCGGAGGAUCUGGCGACGACAAAUAGGAGGAGAUACCGGCGACGGUGGAAGGCUUGGAGGGAGGAUGAGGAGGAGGGCUUGGGAGGAAGAGGGGGAAGGAGUUUGUGAGGCGUGGUCAUCUGAUGUUGGGAAGGCGAGUGGUGGAGGAGAUACGACACUGAUAGUGGGAAGGUCCCUGGGAUUAUUUGUAUUAUUUAGAAGGAGUUUUAAAAAUAAAAAUAAUUAUUAAAAAAAAGGAAAAAAUAAAAUGAAAGAUUUU